UGAUAGAAAUUUUAUUUUUCUAAAUCCUAGACAAAAUAUAAUUGUAAAAGAUUAUGUAAUAUUAAUUUCCUUUUAUAAAAUCCUAAAAAAAUUGUAAAAGAAUUUUUGAUAGUUGUUUUCCUUUUUUAUAAAAACAAAUCCUAAAGAAAAAAAAUGUGUAUCAUAUUUUUAAGCCCUAACCAAAAGAGAAUUGGAAAAAAUUAUUUGAAAAUAUUUUUAAGAGAGUAUUUGAUUAUGAACAUGUUACUAAAAAUUAUUAAAUUAAAAAAAAGUAUAAUUUAAAAAUUAUUUAUUAAUAACUAAAAAUAAUUAUUGGAUAGCAAUUUAUUUUUUCUGAAAUUCUAAAGAGAAGAUAGUUGUAAUAGGUUAUAUGACAGUAACUUUCAUUUUCUAAAAUCUUAAACAAAAUGGUAAAAGAGUAUUUAAUAUUACUUUUUAAUUGUAAAUAAAAAGGAGAUUUAUAAAAUAUAAUGUUUUCAUUUUUUUAAAAAAGUCCUAACAAAAGAAAAAUUUAAAGACUUAUUUAAUAAAACAUUAAAUUAGUACAUAAGAAGAUGUAUAAUGUUGUCAUUGACUCGACUGGUGUAUUUGACUUUCAUUUCUGUUUACUUUUCAUUCAGUUUCUUAUUUUGGGUUGUGUUCAGUUUAAACGUUUAGGUAUAGUAUUUUCUCUAAUCCUAAGUCCAAAGUUUAUAACAAAUCAUCUAUGCACCAUGAUUAUAAAAUACAAAUAUUAACUUGAACUUAUGUGUGAAAACGAGUUUUAAUUAUAAAAUAAAUCUCAAACAACAUAUG
Long non-coding RNA from Brassica rapa (field mustard), 795 nucleotides. RefSeq lists it as uncharacterized. Lineage: Eukaryota; Viridiplantae; Streptophyta; Magnoliopsida; Brassicales; Brassicaceae. The record is from RefSeq and is a predicted model, not a curated record.